This 85-nucleotide transfer RNA is filed under the name uncultured bacterium. Its description in RNAcentral is "transfer RNA-Leu". It matches the Rfam family "tRNA". Rfam says of the family: Transfer RNA (tRNA) molecules are approximately 80 nucleotides in length. Their secondary structure includes four short double-helical elements and three loops (D, anti-codon, and T loops). The record is from RNAcentral.
GCGGAUAUGGUGGAAUUGGUAGACACGCUGUCUUGAGGGGGCAGUGGCGAGAGCCGUGUCGGUUCAAAUCCGACUAUCCGCACCA